GCUAAAAACCUAGCCCAUUCCUCCAUCUAAUGAAUUUUAAAAACUACUUUCUCUAAUCAAAACAUUUUAUCAUCUUAGUAAGGGCGAUUAAAAAAUUAUUAGGAGCUAUACAAAAAGUACCGCAAGGGAAAGAUGAAAUAGAAAUGAAAUAAUCUUCAAGCACAAUAAAGUAAAGAUUAACCCUUGUACCUUUUGCAUCAUGGUUUAACUAGUCAAAUCAAGCAAGACGACUUAUAGUUUGACCCCCCGAAACUAGGCGAGCUACUUCAGGGCAGCUUAAUGAGCUAACCCAUCCCUGUUGCAAAAGAGUGGGAAGACCUUAAAGUAGCGGUGAUAGACCUAACGAGCCUGGUGAUAGCUGGUUACUCAAGAAAAGAAUUUUAGUCCAACCUAAAGAAUAGCAAGUAAUUUUAAAUAGUGCAACUUCUUUAGAGCAAUUCAAAUAAGGUACAGCCUAUUUGAUACAGGAUACAACCUCAGCCGAAGGGUAAUUAUUUUUGUAACAACUAAGUUGGCCUAAGAGCAGCCAUCUUUAAAAUAGCGUCAGAGCUUUAUUGUUUAUAUACUAAAUACCACAAAUAAUCUAGAGCCCUCCCCCACUACUGAGUAAUUCUAUAUUUUUAUAGAAAUUUUUAUGUUAGAACUAGUAACAAGAAGAAGCCCUUCUCUUAAAUGCGAGUGUAAGUCAUAAAGGACAUACCAAUGAUAAUUAACACCUAUACAUAUAAACUAGCAACCUUACAAGAAAAACCUACUUUAUACUAUGUUAAUCUAACACAAGAGCAUUACAAGAAAGAUUAAAAGAAAAAGAAGGAACUCGGCAAACAUUUACCCCGCCUGUUUACCAAAAACAUCGCCUCUUGAUUAAAUAUAAGAGGUCCAGCCUGCCCAGUGACUUUGUUUAACGGCCGCGGUAUCCUAACCGUGCGAAGGUAGCGUAAUCACUUGUUCUUUAAAUAAGGACUAGUAUGAAUGGCAUCACGAGGGUUAUACUGUCUCCUUUUUCUGAUCAGUAAAACUAAUCUCCCCGUGAAGAAGCGGGGAUUAAGAUAUAAGACGAGAAGACCCUAUGGAGCUUUAAACUAAGUAACAAUUGCUUCAACUCCUCUAUUCAUUUCAGAAUAACUUAUACCCAUGAUAGCUCAAUGAUUACUAAUUUUAGGUUGGGGUGACCGCGGAGCAUAAGAUAACCUCCACUUUGUACGGGAUUAAAUCCCUGAGCCAUGAAAUACGCCUCUAAGCACUAACUAAUUAACAUCAAUUGACCCAAUAUUUUGAUCAACGAACCAAGUUACCCUAGGGAUAACAGCGCAAUUCGCCUCAAAAGCUCCUAUCGACAGGCGAGUUUACGACCUCGAUGUUGGAUCAGGGUAUCCAAGUGGUGUAGCCGCUACUAAAGGUUCGUUUGUUCAACGAUUAAUACCCU
RNAcentral lists this ribosomal RNA (1426 nucleotides) under Ecnomiohyla minera (Guatemala treefrog). RNAcentral describes it as "partial 16S ribosomal RNA". It matches the Rfam family "Bacterial large subunit ribosomal RNA", at positions 379 to 2597 of the family's 2925-position model. Lineage: Eukaryota; Metazoa; Chordata; Amphibia; Anura; Hylidae. The record is from RNAcentral.